This 253-nucleotide ribosomal RNA is filed under the name uncultured bacterium. RNAcentral's name for it is "partial 16S ribosomal RNA". It matches the Rfam family "Bacterial small subunit ribosomal RNA", at positions 524 to 776 of the family's 1533-position model. The record is from RNAcentral.
AACGUAGGAGACAAGCGUUAUCCGGAGUUACUGGGCGUAAAGGGCGUGUAGGUGGUUUCGUAAGUCUGGCGUGAAAUAUCUCGGCUUAACCGAGGCAGGUCGUCGGAUACUGCGGAACUAGAGGACGGUAGAGGCGUGUGGAAUUCCGGGUGUAGUGGUGAAAUGCGUAGAGAUCCGGAGGAACACCAGUGGCGAAGGCGACACGCUGGGCCGUACCUGACACUGAUGCGCGACAGCAUGGGGAGCAAACAGG